GACAGAGGUUGCAAGCGUUAUCCGGAAUGAUUGGGCGUAAAGCGUCUGUAGGUGGCUUUUCAAGUCCGCCGUCAAAUCCCAGGGCUCAACCCUGGACAGGCGGUGGAAACUAACAAGCUGGAGUACGGUAGAGGCAGAGGGAAUUUCCGGUGGAGCGGUGAAAUGCGUAGAGAUCGGGAAGAACACCAACGGCGAAAGCACUCUGCUGGGCCGACACUGACACUGAGAGACGAAAGCUAGGGGAUCAAAUGGG
This 253-nucleotide ribosomal RNA is filed under the name uncultured bacterium. RNAcentral's name for it is "partial 16S ribosomal RNA". It matches the Rfam family "Bacterial small subunit ribosomal RNA", at positions 524 to 776 of the family's 1533-position model. The record is from RNAcentral.